This 235-nucleotide ribosomal RNA is filed under the name uncultured bacterium. RNAcentral's name for it is "partial 16S ribosomal RNA". It matches the Rfam family "Bacterial small subunit ribosomal RNA", at positions 335 to 563 of the family's 1533-position model. The record is from RNAcentral.
GCCCUACGGGGCGCAGCAGUGGGGAAUAUUGCGCAAUGGGCGAAAGCCUGACGCAGCGACGCCGCGUGAGGGAUGAAGGUCUUCGGAUCGUAAACCUCUUUCAGCAGGGAAGAACGGUCACUUUGCUAAUCAGCAGUGAAUUGACGGUACCUGCAAAGGAAGCACCGGCUAACUCCGUGCCAGCAGCCGCGGUAAUACGGAGGGUGCGAGCGUUAAUCGGUAGUACUGGGCGGAA